AGUGAACGCUGGCGGUAGGCCUAACACAUGCAAGUCGAACGGCAGCACAGUAAGAGCUUGCUCUUACGGGUGGCGAGUGGCGGACGGGUGAGGAAUACAUCGGAAUCUACUUUUUCGUGGGGGAUAACGUAGGGAAACUUACGCUAAUACCGCAUACGACCUACGGGUGAAAGCAGGGGAUCUUCGGACCUUGCGCGAUUGAAUGAGCCGAUGUCGGAUUAGCUAGUUGGCGGGGUAAAGGACCACCAAGGCGACGAUCCGUAGCUGGUCUGAGAGGAUGAUCGCACACACUGGAACGUAAACAGGGACCAGACUCCUACGAGAGGCAGCAGAAGGGAAUAUUGGACAAAGGGGGAAAGGCUGAUCAAGCCAUACCGCGUGCGGGAAGAGGACCUUCUGUUUGUAAAGCUCUUUUAUGAGGAAAGAAAAGCAGCAGGUUAAAACGCAGCUGUUCUGACGAUACCCAAAGAAUAAGCACCGGCUAACUUCGUG
Molecule: ribosomal RNA, 492 nt
Filed under: uncultured bacterium
Lineage: Bacteria
Description: partial 16S ribosomal RNA
Rfam family: Bacterial small subunit ribosomal RNA
Source: RNAcentral